AUGGAUGAACUUCAUAUGGAUAACACAUUAGUUUGUGCACAACCAUAUUGCAUUUUCUUGCAUAAUCUGAAAACAUCAAAAUUAACUAGAGAAGUGAAUAUAUCUUCUCUAACACGGUCCACAUGUUCCUCUGUCAGUUUGGAUCAUAACAAGUCGAACUAUCAGAAGCACAUAGUCUUCCGGCCCAUGGGACAACCCACAUCGUUUUGGCACCUUACCCGUGGUGUCCACAACGACAAUUUUUGCGGGCUUGGAUGUGGGCACCAUGGGCAUCCACUUGCAGCCUUAGUUGCUAGUGCUUAG
RNAcentral lists this ribosomal RNA (303 nucleotides) under Triticum aestivum (bread wheat). RNAcentral's name for it is "partial small subunit ribosomal RNA". The record is from RNAcentral. Lineage: Eukaryota; Viridiplantae; Streptophyta; Magnoliopsida; Poales; Poaceae.